Molecule: transfer RNA, 95 nt
Filed under: Streptomyces griseoloalbus
Lineage: Bacteria; Bacillati; Actinomycetota; Actinomycetes; Kitasatosporales; Streptomycetaceae
Description: tRNA-Gly
Source: RNAcentral
AGGCCGCCGGGCGGCGGUCCGGCGCCUCCGGUGUGUCCGACGCCGAGGUGACGACCGAGCUUCCGAAGCCGCCGGUUCCGACGGGCGCGGCCGAC